GACGAACGCUGGCGGCGUGCUUAACACAUGCAAGUCGAGCGGUAAGGCCCUUCGGGGUACACGAGCGGCGAACGGGUGAGUAACACGUGGGUGACCUGCCCUCAGCUCGUGGGAUAAGCCUGGGAAACCGGGUCUAAUACCGGAUAUGACUCCAUGACGCAUGUUGUGGGGUGGAAAGCCUUGUGCGGCUGAGGAUGGGCCCGCGGCCUAUCAG
RNAcentral lists this ribosomal RNA (214 nucleotides) under uncultured bacterium. RNAcentral's name for it is "partial 16S ribosomal RNA". It matches the Rfam family "Bacterial small subunit ribosomal RNA", at positions 28 to 244 of the family's 1533-position model. The record is from RNAcentral.